Molecule: ribosomal RNA, 497 nt
Filed under: uncultured bacterium
Lineage: Bacteria
Description: partial 16S ribosomal RNA
Rfam family: Bacterial small subunit ribosomal RNA
Source: RNAcentral
GAUGAACGCUGGCGGCGUGCCUAAUACAUGCAAGUCGAGCGAACAGAUGAGGAGCUUGCUCCUCUGACGUUAGCGGCGGACGGGUGAGUAACACGUGGAUGACCUACCUAUAAGACUGGGAGAACUUCGGGAAACCGGAGCUAAUACCGGAUAAUAUAUUGAACCGCAUGGUUCAAUAGUGAAAGACGGUUUUGCUGUCACUUAUAGAUGGAUCCGCGCCGCAUUAGCUAGUUGGUAAGGUAACGGCUUACCAAGGCAACGAUGCGUAGCCGACCUGAGAGGGUGAUCGGCCACACUGGAACUGAGACACGGUCCAGACUCCUACGGGAGGCAGCAGUAGGGAAUCUUCCGCAAUGGGCGAAAGCCUGACGGAGCAACGCCGCGUGAGUGAUGAAGGUCUUCGGAUCGUAAAACGCUGUUAUUAGGGAAGAACAAAUGUGUAAGUAACUAUGCACGUCUUGACGGUACCUAAUCAGAAAGCCACGGCUAACUACGUG